GUACACGCUGUGACUAGCAUAUCAAUAAGCGGAGGAAAAGAAACUAACAAGGAUUCCCCUAGUAACGGCGAGUGAAGCGGGAAGAGCUCAAAUUUGAAAUCUUAAAGGGUUUCCCUUUACGAAUUGUAGUUUAAAGAAGUGUUUUCUGUUGAGGUUUUGGUAAAAGUUCUUUGGAAUAGGACAUCAUAGAGGGUGAGAAUCCCGUAUUUGACCUUUACUUUCAACUUUGUGAUACACUUUCAAAGAGUCGGAUUGUUUGGGAAUGCAGUCCAAAAUGGGUGGUAAAUUUCAUCUAAAGCUAAAUAUUGGCGAGAGACCGAUAGCGAACAAGUACCGUGAGGGAAAGAUGAAAAGAACUUUGAAAAGAGAGUUAAACAGUACGUGAAAUUGUCAAAAGGGAAGUGUUUGACACCAGUGUUGUUUUUCUGAAAAUCAAUUAAAGAACUGUUUAUGCUAAGCUGUUUAGACUUUAUCAGCUAUCUGUUUAGUUUUGAGCUUUUCUUUAAUGCACUUUUCAGUUAACAAGUCAACAUCAAUUUCUUUUGCUGUAAAAAAGCUUGAGGAAGGUGGCUUGAGAUUCGUCUUAAGUGUUUAUAGCCUCUUGCCUAUGCAGUCGGAGAGAUUGAGGUCUGCAGCGUAGAUCCUUCGGGGCUAAAUGCAUUUGUGCUAAGUUAUAGCAUUUCAUAGACAACUUGUUGACUAUGAUUUGUCUUGUAGCUUACUCGCUUAUGUUAUUUUACCUACGCUUAGGAUGUUGACGAGACUGUCGAUCUC
RNAcentral lists this ribosomal RNA (774 nucleotides) under uncultured Neocallimastigales. Its description in RNAcentral is "partial large subunit ribosomal RNA". It matches the Rfam family "Eukaryotic large subunit ribosomal RNA", at positions 22 to 647 of the family's 3401-position model. Lineage: Eukaryota; Fungi; Neocallimastigomycota; Neocallimastigomycetes; Neocallimastigales. The record is from RNAcentral.